Long non-coding RNA from Apis florea (little honeybee), 4052 nucleotides. RefSeq lists it as uncharacterized. Lineage: Eukaryota; Metazoa; Arthropoda; Insecta; Hymenoptera; Apidae. The record is from RefSeq and is a predicted model, not a curated record.
GAGUUCUAGAUCCAUUUCUUAUUCCGUUUCUUUUUAGAAGCGUGAAAGGGAUGAAUAUAACUGCCAAUGUGUCUCUUAAUUGAUUUUACAAAAAAACCAAGAUCGUCAAUCAGAAAUGCAGCAACGAAACAAACAACGCGGAGAACAAAUUCAACCACUACAAAAGCAAUUUAAUCAGAACCAAAUAAAUUCACUUCGAUGGCAUUUAUUCUCAUCAACGAAGUGCAAUCAUCUCAACUGGAUUUCCAUAAUCUCAAUAAUCCAUUUAUCGAUAUCGAACAACAUUGGCAUUGCAGCAGCAAUAUGAAUACAGUUCAGUGGCUAAGAAAAAUUAAAUUCCUUCAAAUGCAUGCCGUUAACCUGUUAAUAAAUACAGGAUCGACAUUGAGGAUCAAAAAAGUGCAAAGAACGAAUCUAACGAAUCAGUAGGGACUUUUAACAACAUUAUAAAUAUCAGGAAAUUUAUGCAUUUACAUCGACUACAAAUCUGACCAGGAUUGUCGAUCAAUCCCCUAGCCAUUGUUUCUGUCAUGCUACAGGAAGAAGGAGAAACGGAGUGCAGUGGCUUCCUUCUGCGAAGAAGUAAUGUUGUGGAAAGAGGCAAUGGAAUGGAAGAGUGGAAAGGUAUUCCUCAGUGAAGAUGCCUUUCUUUGCUCCGGAGUAAUAAACAACAUCGAGCCGAAUCAUCAUGCCAAUCCGCAAAGAAGAUCCCCGUUAAUGAGUCUCACUAUCACUUUACGCAAUACUGUCAGCAAUCGAUUGAUUUCUUCUGAAAAAAUGCGCGAAGUGUUUCCGACAUAACUACUAGGAUUGCAUUGCUGAAACUUGUAAACGAUGUAACAGAAAACCAUAUGUUGUUACACAUAUCUCAGUAAACAGUGAAGAGGAAACAUUCCUGUCUACCGCAAUCAUUCAAAUCCACGAUAGCAAGGGAUAUCUAUUUACCAACUUUGGACUUCGGACUCACAAUCGCAUUUCAUAACAGAACGUUUCGCGAGAAGAUUGGAAGUAUCCAUAAGGUAUUAUUAAGAUCAAUAUUUCUAUCGCAAGAACGAGCAUCCAUUUGUGCAAACACACCACAUGUGAUCACACUCGAUUUCUAUUCAAUAUAGAAUCUCCAAUUUUAAAUAAUUCGUAUCAUGCAAUAGUGAAGAGAACAAGCUUAACAGAAAGACAAGCAGACCAAAGAGCUGCGGACAAUUUUUCACGCAUCCGCGAAAUCCUCAAACGACACUUUAUUAAAUGACGUGCUCCUAGUAAGUUCUACCAUACAAAAAGAGUUCUACUCCUUUCUGAUUGGUUUGCAAUCAUAUAUAUAUAUAUGUUCUGACUCUCAAUAUCGCUAAAAUAUGCUGAUUUAUUAGCAUGAUCGUAUGUAUCAAAAGAUCCUUUGACACAAGCAUCCUGAUCAAUCGUUAUAACACAUUCGUGUUGAAUACCAUGAUAUAUGUCAUUUCUAGUUAGCGAGUUGCAAAGACCAUUGCAUGAGCAGCACAAAAUUUCAUGUCGACGACAUGUUAAUCGAAACGAAUAUAUACGAAGCAACUCCGACAUUAAACGAAAUCGGGAGUCUAUGAAAGGGAGGAUUUCAACUUUGAUAAUGAAUGACAAAUGAUGAGUUAUUUAUUUCAUCGUUACAUGACACAUCGUAAAUGGAUGCUAUGCGACUGGAUAAUACAAUUAAGACAUUAAGUAUAUAUUGGAAUACCAGAAAGAACUUUCGCAUAUGCCAUCAAACAAUCAAUUUCCACAAAUCAACUUACAAUAUGUUUUUCAAAAUCGCAACAUUGUUUGACUUACUUGGCAUACUUGACUUACUCGAACCAAUUAUUAUCAACACUAAAUUAUUAAUAUAAACAUGGAAACUACAAAUAGAUUGAGACGAAUCUGCCGAGACUUAUAAUUAUUAUUCGAAUUCAAAAUUAUUCGAUAUAUCUUUUAACGAGAUUGCAUGUCGAUUUAAUUUCACGGAUUUUGCGAGCGAAAGGAUAUACAGUGCUUGUUUACAUGCGAAUAGUCAAUCAACAAGUAAUAUUGUCACUCAUUUAAUCUCAUCUAAAUCGCGAGUUGCUAUGCUAAAACCAAUAAGGCUACCGUGGCUGGAAUUAUUUGCUACGCAUUUACUUCUUCAAAUUAUAUAUAUCUCGUUAACGAGACAUUCGUUGAAUGUGAAAUCCGACAAAAUUCUUUUUUGGACAGACAAAAUUCACAUUAUACUGGUUCAAUUCGAUCAAAACGUUUGUUUCGCAUCACGUGACCGACAUACAAUCCGUAACCGGACAACAUGAAUGACACAUCGAUUCAAGCGAUAAUCCUGCCGACUUGAUAUCGUGUGGGAUGAUUAGACGAUAUCAGGAAAAAUGAUGUCUGAUUUUUCAGCUGCAAUCGAUAGCUGAAUUGCGAUCAAUACAUCAAUACAUUAUCUACGCGAUCUAUUAUACUCGACUUUUUCGAUAAAUUCUCUUCCUUCCAUUGCUUUAAGCGCUUUAACAAUAUAUAUUCUUCAGUUCGUGCGAAACAGCUUAAAGAAGGAACUGAGUUCUGUAGACUCUUAAUCAUCUCUUGAAUUGCACAAAGUUGAGAAGCGAAUUAUACUUACUUGCUCUUAAGUCGCUCAACAAGAAAUGUAUCACGAAAUACGAGAAUUCGAAGUAACAACUCACAUAGUUUUUUUCCUUGCCCUAGACAGAAAUAGCAAAGAAUAUCUAUUGUGUUUUCAUAUAACAAGAGACACGCCAUGUUAUUGUACAGAACACAUCAUCUGAUCAAAUUCGUUUGUAAACCUUCAUGUAGAUAAAGCACAAUCCACGUUGCUAUUUUUGGAUCAUUCACAAUAAAAAAUUGAUAAUACAUAAAUUAUGUGUCGUUGUGCCAAAUUCACCAUCGUUAAUUAUCGAAUGAACGAUCUCCCCAUAAAUCGCGUCAUCCAUUUCCAAUCAUUUUUACAAUCGGGAGUCGAUUUUUGCGGUCAUAAAGGAAAAAGUCCAUAGUAAUCGACAAAGGAUAAAGGUUUUUUAACCAUGUUCAUCUGUUGAGCCGUACAUAUCGAAGUCCAUACAUAUUCGAGGACAUUAACUACGGAUGCCUUUUUCGUUCGCGUUAUCCUUCGAAAGUUUAUUCACUAUUAGAAAAUAAAUUGAGGUUAUUUUCAAUUCACAUUCUCUCCCUCACAUUUUAAUGAUCUAAUCGUAUUAAAGCUUGCACAAUUCUUAAUUAGGCGAGACCUUAACGAAUAUUCCAGAUCAUUUAAAUUUCUUGUAAAUUUCGGAUGGACGAUUAAUAUCAUGGCAACACAUAUAAAAGUUAAAACAAUAUUUUUGGAAGUGUUGGCGCGCUGAGUAUCUCCAGGAACUAACCAUCCGUAAGAAAUAGCAUUUCAGGAUAACGAAAUUGUUCUCAAUUGAAAUCAGUUGUGAGAAAACAAUAUGUUACCCAUAUAGUGACUCGUUGACGCAUCGUCGCAGUAUACCUUGAAACAGACGGACGUAUAGUGGCGAUGAAAACAACGUGAAGUGAAUACAAACGAUCUCUAAAAAAUUAUUAUACUCUUAUCGAUGGAACAACAAUCAUAGCUUCAUAAGCACAAGGCAUAACAUCUUUUCCUUUAGAAGUCUUCGAUAUUGUGGAAGGGACAGAUAUAUCCCUGAUAUAUUUAUAUUUUUUGAUUGGUUUUUUCAAAAAAUCAAAAUCAUUAAUCAGGGAUCAGCAAGACAAGCGAACGAAACGAGUAAAAAAAAAAACAAAUUCACUGCGAAAGCAAAAUCAAGGAACAUUAUCACCCGCAAACUCACUUCAACGGCAUUUAUUUUUCAUCAACGAGCAACAAUCAUCUCAACGAGAUUCAGCAUUAUUAAGUUGAAACUGAAUUACUGGUAACACGAUAAUGUAUAAUCGGAAUGCCCUCGACAAACGAUACAGAAAUCUGGAGAUCUAUGUGGGUAUUUUAUUGAAUUCUGCGAUCGAUUCAUCUUUUAUUAAUUCAAAAUUUUUUUUUAUAUUGUCGUAAAAAUGUGUUGAUGUUCUAUUAUAUAUAAAAAAAAACAUGAUUUUAU